RNAcentral lists this ribosomal RNA (1066 nucleotides) under Escherichia coli. RNAcentral's name for it is "bacterial SSU rRNA". It matches the Rfam family "Bacterial small subunit ribosomal RNA", at positions 61 to 1114 of the family's 1533-position model. Lineage: Bacteria; Pseudomonadati; Pseudomonadota; Gammaproteobacteria; Enterobacterales; Enterobacteriaceae. The record is from RNAcentral.
GUCGAACGGUAACAGGAAACAGCUUGCUGUUUCGCUGACGAGUGGCGGACGGGUGAGUAAUGUCUGGGAAACUGCCUGAUGGAGGGGGAUAACUACUGGAAACGGUAGCUAAUACCGCAUAACGUCGCAAGACCAAAGAGGGGGACCUUCGGGCCUCUUGCCAUCGGAUGUGCCCAGAUGGGAUUAGCUAGUAGGUGGGGUAACGGCUCACCUAGGCGACGAUCCCUAGCUGGUCUGAGAGGAUGACCAGCCACACUGGAACUGAGACACGGUCCAGACUCCUACGGGAGGCAGCAGUGGGGAAUAUUGCACAAUGGGCGCAAGCCUGAUGCAGCCAUGCCGCGUGUAUGAAGAAGGCCUUCGGGUUGUAAAGUACUUUCAGCGGGGAGGAAGGGAGUAAAGUUAAUACCUUUGCUCAUUGACGUUACCCGCAGAAGAAGCACCGGCUAACUCCGUGCCAGCAGCCGCGGUAAUACGGAGGGUGCAAGCGUUAAUCGGAAUUACUGGGCGUAAAGCGCACGCAGGCGGUUUGUUAAGUCAGAUGUGAAAUCCCCGGGCUCAACCUGGGAACUGCAUCUGAUACUGGCAAGCUUGAGUCUCGUAGAGGGGGGUAGAAUUCCAGGUGUAGCGGUGAAAUGCGUAGAGAUCUGGAGGAAUACCGGUGGCGAAGGCGGCCCCCUGGACGAAGACUGACCCUCAGGUGCGAAAGCGUGGGGGAGCAAACAGGAUUAGAUACCCUGGUAGUCCACGCCGUAAACGAUGUCGACUUGGAGGUUGUGCCCUUGAGGCGUGGCUUCCGGAGCUAACGCGUUAAGUCGACCGCCUGGGGAGUACGGCCGCAAGGUUAAAACUCAAAUGAAUUGACGGGGGCCCGCACAAGCGGUGGAACCAUGGGGUUUAAUUCGAUGCAACGCGAAGAACCUUACCUGGUCUUGAAUUCCACGGAAGUUUUCAGAAAUGAGAAUGUGCCUUCGGGAACCGUGAGACAGGUGCUGCAUGGCUGUCGUCAGCUCGUGUUGUGAAAAGUUGGGUUAAGUCCCGCAACGAGCGCAACCCUUAUCCUUUG